CUCUUGCUUCUGCAGGGAGCCAGAGAGAGGCUCUGAGAAGAAGACCAGCGGCCCCCUUUCUCCUCCCUCAGGGCCGCCUGGCCCGGCGCCUGCAGGUCCCGCCGUGCGGCUGGGUUCCCUGCCCUACUCCCUGCUCUUCCGUGUCCUGCUGCAGUGCUUGAAGCAGGAGUCUGACUGGAAGGUGCUGAAGCUGGUUCUGGGCAGGCUGCCCGAGUCCCUGCGCUACAAAGUGCUCAUCUUUACUUCCCCUUGCAGUGUGGACCAGCUGUGCUCUGCUCUCUGCUCCAUGCUUUCAGGCCCAAAGACACUGGAGCGGCUCCGAGGCGCCCCAGAAGGCUUCUCCAGAACUGACCUGCACCUGGCUGUGGUUCCAGUGCUGACAGCAUUAAUCUCUUACCAUAACUACCUGGACAAAACCAAACAGCGCGAGAUGGUCUACUGCCUGGAGCAGGGCCUCAUCCACCGCUGUGCCAGCCAGUGCGUCGUGGCCUUGUCCAUCUGCAGCGUGGAGAUGCCUGACAUCAUCAUCAAGGCGCUGCCCGUCCUGGUGGUG
This 553-nucleotide small RNA is filed under the name Pongo abelii (Sumatran orangutan). RNAcentral describes it as "retained intron". Lineage: Eukaryota; Metazoa; Chordata; Mammalia; Primates; Hominidae. The record is from RNAcentral.